Molecule: transfer RNA, 85 nt
Filed under: Candidatus Woesearchaeota archaeon
Lineage: Archaea; Nanobdellati; Candidatus Woesearchaeota
Description: tRNA-Arg
Rfam family: tRNA
About the family: Transfer RNA (tRNA) molecules are approximately 80 nucleotides in length.
Source: RNAcentral
GGCGGCGUAGGCUAGCCAGGUAAGCCGCGAAGUUACGACCUUCGUGUCCGAUAAGGACUCCGGGGUUCAAAUCCCCGCGCCGCCG